GAGACCCCAGAUCAGGUGGGACUACCCGCUGAGUUUA
RNAcentral lists this ribosomal RNA (37 nucleotides) under Pleuropterus multiflorus (tuber fleeceflower). Its description in RNAcentral is "Fallopia multiflora partial 26S ribosomal RNA". The record is from RNAcentral. Lineage: Eukaryota; Viridiplantae; Streptophyta; Magnoliopsida; Caryophyllales; Polygonaceae.